GGGCCGGCGUGUCUAUACAUGCAGUCGAGCGAACAGAUGAGAAGCUUGCUUCUCUGAUGUUAGCGGCGGACGGGUGAGUAACACGUGGGUAACCUACCUAUAAGACUGGGAUAACUCCGGGAAACCGGGGCUAAUACCGGAUAAUAUUUUGAACCGCAUGGUUCAAUAGUGAAAGACGGUUUCGGCUGUCACUUAUAGAUGGACCCGCGCCGUAUUAGCUAGUUGGUAAGGUAACGGCUUACCAAGGCGACGAUACGUAGCCGACCUGAGAGGGUGAUCGGCCACACUGGAACUGAGACACGGUCCAGACUCCUACGGGAGGCAGCAGUAGGGAAUCUUCCGCAAUGGGCGAAAGCCUGACGGAGCAACGCCGCGUGAGUGAUGAAGGUCUUCGGAUCGUAAAACUCUGUUGUUAGGGAAGAACAAAUUUGUUAGUAACUGAACAAGUCUUGACGGUACCUAACCAGAAAGCCACGGCUAACUACGUGCCAGCAGCCGCGGUAAUACGUAGGUGGCAAGCGUUAUCCGGAAUUAUUGGGCGUAAAGCGCGCGUAGGCGGUUUCUUAAGUCUGAUGUGAAAGCCCACGGCUCAACCGUGGAGGGUCAUUGGAAACUGGGAAACUUGAGUGCAGAAGAGGAGAGUGGAAUUCCAUGUGUAGCGGUGAAAUGCGCAGAGAUAUGGAGGAACACCAGUGGCGAAGGCGGCUCUCUGGUCUGUAACUGACGCUGAUGUGCGAAAGCGUGGGGAUCAAACAGGAUUAGAUACCCUGGUAGUCCACGCCGUAAACGAUGAGUGCUAAGUGUUAGGGGGUUUCCGCCCCUUAGUGCUGCAGCUAACGCAUUAAGCACUCCGCCUGGGGAGUACGACCGCAAGGUUGAAACUCAAAGGAAUUGACGGGGACCCGCACAAGCGGUGGAGCAUGUGGUUUAAUUCGAAGCAACGCGAAGAACCUUACCAAAUCUUGACAUCCUUUGACCGCUCUAGAGAUAGAGUCUUCCCCUUCGGGGGACAAAGUGACAGGUGGUGCAUGGUUGUCGUCAGCUCGUGUCGUGAGAUGUUGGGUUAAGUCCCGCAACGAGCGCAACCCUUAAGCUUAGUUGCCAUCAUUAAGUUGGGCACUCUAGGUUGACUGCCGGUGACAAACCGGAGGAAGGUGGGGAUGACGUCAAAUCAUCAUGCCCCUUAUGAUUUGGGCUACACACGUGCUACAAUGGAUAAUACAAAGGGCAGCGAAUCCGCGAGGCCAAGCAAAUCCCAUAAAAUUAUUCUCAGUUCGGAUUGUAGUCUGCAACUCGACUACAUGAAGCUGGAAUCGCUAGUAAUCGUAGAUCAGCAUGCUACGGUGAAUACGUUCCCGGGUCUUGUACACACCGCCCGUCACACCACGAGAGUUUGUAACACCCGAAGCCGGUGGAGUAACCUUUUAGGAGCUAGCCGUUCGGAAGGGGGG
Molecule: ribosomal RNA, 1451 nt
Filed under: Staphylococcus sp.
Lineage: Bacteria; Bacillati; Bacillota; Bacilli; Caryophanales; Staphylococcaceae
Description: bacterial SSU rRNA
Rfam family: Bacterial small subunit ribosomal RNA
Source: RNAcentral